UCAAGUGAAGAAGCGCAUACGGUGGAUGCCUUGGCAGUCAGAGGCGAUGAAAGACGUGGUAGCCUGCGAAAAGCUUCGGGGAGUCGGCAAACAGACUUUGAUCCGGAGAUCUCUGAAUGGGGGAACCCACCUAGGAUAACCUAGGUAUCUUGUACUGAAUCCAUAGGUGCAAGAGGCGAACCAGGGGAACUGAAACAUCUAAGUACCCUGAGGAAAAGAAAUCAACCGAGAUUCCCUUAGUAGUGGCGAGCGAACGGGGAUUAGCCCUUAAGCUUCAUUGAUUUUAGCGGAACGCUCUGGAAAGUGCGGCCAUAGUGGGUGAUAGCCCCGUACGCGAAAGGAUCUUUGAAGUGAAAUCGAGUAGGACGGAGCACGAGAAACUUUGUCUGAACAUGGGGGGACCAUCCUCCAAGGCUAAAUACUACUGACUGACCGAUAGUGAACCAGUACCGUGAGGGAAAGGCGAAAAGAACCCCGGAGAGGGGAGUGAAAUAGAACCUGAAACCGUAUGCGUACAAGCAGUGGGAGCCUACUUGUUAGGUGACUGCGUACCUUUUGUAUAAUGGGUCAGCGACUUAUAUUCAGUGGCAAGCUUAACCGUAUAGGGUAGGCGUAGCGAAAGCGAGUCUUAAUAGGGCGUUUAGUCGCUGGGUAUAGACCCGAAACCGGGCGAUCUAUCCAUGAGCAGGUUGAAGGUUAGGUAACACUGACUGGAGGACCGAACCCACUCCCGUUGAAAAGGUAGGGGAUGACUUGUGGAUCGGAGUGAAAGGCUAAUCAAGCUCGGAGAUAGCUGGUUCUCCUCGAAAGCUAUUUAGGUAGCGCCUCAUGUAUCACUCUGGGGGGUAGAGCACUGUUUCGGCUAGGGGGUCAUCCCGACUUACCAAACCGAUGCAAACUCCGAAUACCCAGAAGUGCCGAGCAUGGGAGACACACGGCGGGUGCUAACGUCCGUCGUGAAAAGGGAAACAACCCAGACCGCCAGCUAAGGUCCCAAAGUUGUGGUUAAGUGGUAAACGAUGUGGGAAGGCUUAGACAGCUAGGAGGUUGGCUUAGAAGCAGCCAUCCUUUAAAGAAAGCGUAAUAGCUCACUAGUCGAGUCGGCCUGCGCGGAAGAUGUAACGGGGCUCAAACCACACACCGAAGCUGCGGGUGUCACGUAAGUGACGCGGUAGAGGAGCGUUCUGUAAGCCUGUGAAGGUGAGUUGAGAAGCUUGCUGGAGGUAUCAGAAGUGCGAAUGCUGACAUGAGUAACGACAAUGGGUGUGAAAAACACCCACGCCGAAAGACCAAGGGUUCCUGCGCAACGUUAAUCGACGCAGGGUUAGUCGGUUCCUAAGGCGAGGCUGAAAAGCGUAGUCGAUGGGAAACAGGUUAAUAUUCCUGUACUUCUGGUUACUGCGAUGGAGGGACGGAGAAGGCUAGGCCAGCUUGGCGUUGGUUGUCCAAGUUUAAGGUGGUAGGCUGAAAUCUUAGGUAAAUCCGGGGUUUCAAGGCCGAGAGCUGAUGACGAGUCGUCUUUUAGAUGACGAAGUGGUUGAUGCCAUGCUUCCAAGAAAAGCUUCUAAGCUUCAGGUAACCAGGAACCGUACCCCAAACCGACACAGGUGGUCGGGUAGAGAAUACCAAGGCGCUUGAGAGAACUCGGGUGAAGGAACUAGGCAAAAUGGCACCGUAACUUCGGGAGAAGGUGCGCCGGCUAGGGUGAAGGAUUUACUCCGUAAGCUCUGGCUGGUCGAAGAUACCAGGCCGCUGCGACUGUUUAUUAAAAACACAGCACUCUGCAAACACGAAAGUGGACGUAUAGGGUGUGACGCCUGCCCGGUGCCGGAAGGUUAAUUGAUGGGGUUAGCGCAAGCGAAGCUCUUGAUCGAAGCCCCGGUAAACGGCGGCCGUAACUAUAACGGUCCUAAGGUAGCGAAAUUCCUUGUCGGGUAAGUUCCGACCUGCACGAAUGGCGUAACGAUGGCGGCGCUGUCUCCACCCGAGACUCAGUGAAAUUGAAAUCGCUGUGAAGAUGCAGUGUAUCCGCGGCUAGACGGAAAGACCCCGUGAACCUUUACUGUAGCUUUGCACUGGACUUUGAGCCUGCUUGUGUAGGAUAGGUGGGAGGCUUUGAAGCGUGGACGCCAGUUCGCGUGGAGCCAUCCUUGAAAUACCACCCUGGCAUGCUUGAGGUUCUAACUCUGGUCCGUAAUCCGGAUCGAGGACAGUGUAUGGUGGGCAGUUUGACUGGGGCGGUCUCCUCCUAAAGAGUAACGGAGGAGUACGAAGGUGCGCUCAGACCGGUCGGAAAUCGGUCGCAGAGUAUAAAGGCAAAAGCGCGCUUGACUGCGAGACAGACACGUCGAGCAGGUACGAAAGUAGGUCUUAGUGAUCCGGUGGUUCUGUAUGGAAGGGCCAUCGCUCAACGGAUAAAAGGUACUCCGGGGAUAACAGGCUGAUACCGCCCAAGAGUUCAUAUCGACGGCGGUGUUUGGCACCUCGAUGUCGGCUCAUCACAUCCUGGGGCUGAAGCCGGUCCCAAGGGUAUGGCUGUUCGCCAUUUAAAGUGGUACGCGAGCUGGGUUUAGAACGUCGUGAGACAGUUCGGUCCCUAUCUGCCGUGGACGUUUGAGAUUUGAGAGGGGCUGCUCCUAGUACGAGAGGACCGGAGUGGACGAACCUCUGGUGUUCCGGUUGUCACGCCAGUGGCAUUGCCGGGUAGCUAUGUUCGGAAAAGAUAACCGCUGAAAGCAUCUAAGCGGGAAACUUGCCUCAAGAUGAGAUCUCACUGGGAACUUGAUUCCCCUGAAGGGCCGUCGAAGACUACGACGUUGAUAGGCUGGGUGUGUAAGCGUUGUGAGGCGUUGAGCUAACCAGUACUAAUUGCCCGUGAGGCUUGACCA
RNAcentral lists this ribosomal RNA (2888 nucleotides) under Pseudomonas aeruginosa PAO1H2O. RNAcentral describes it as "bacterial LSU rRNA". It matches the Rfam family "Bacterial large subunit ribosomal RNA". Lineage: Bacteria; Pseudomonadati; Pseudomonadota; Gammaproteobacteria; Pseudomonadales; Pseudomonadaceae. The record is from RNAcentral.